Long non-coding RNA from Glycine soja, 198 nucleotides. RefSeq lists it as uncharacterized. The record is from RefSeq and is a predicted model, not a curated record. The transcript has 3 exons. Lineage: Eukaryota; Viridiplantae; Streptophyta; Magnoliopsida; Fabales; Fabaceae.
UGGAAGCCUCCAUCAAAUCAUGGGUUUAUACCCUGUACAAAGCCUACUCCUAAUUACUCAAUUAUUUUCACCACUUUCAAAAGUUAAAGAUGAACAAAAUGGUGUGCUGGAACUACAUGAUGUUCAUGACAAACAAAGAACUGUGCAAGCUGAUAGAUUUUGUGAAUAAGAUCCAUGUUACUGGCCAGAAUGGGCUAC